GGUGAGGGUUUACAGAGAGGUAAUUGAUAAUCAGGUGAGGGUUUACAGAGAGGUAAUUGAUAAUCAGGUGAGGGUUUACAGAGAGGUAAUUGAUAAUCAGGUGAGCUGAACUAAGGGUUUACAGAGAGGUAAUUGAUAAUCAGGUGAGGGUUUACAGAGAGGUAAUUGAUAAUCAGGUGAGGGUUUACAGAGAGGUAAUUGCUAAUCAGGUGAGCUGAACUUUCACAGCAACAGUAAACACCUGAAAGUAGCCUAAUUAUUUAACAAGCCCUUUGGUUUGGGAGUGAACAUUCUCCAUAGCUGAAGAGAGAGAAGACUGUAAGAGGCUCAUAUGGGAUUCUAGGUCAUCUCUGAUGUAUGACAGGAUUGAAAACAACACCAUCUCUGAUGUAUGACAGGUUUGAAAACAACACCAUCUCUGAUGUAUGACAGGAUUGAAAACAACACCAUCUCUGAUGUAUGACAGGAUUGAAAACAACACCAUCUCUGAUGUAUGACAGUAUUGAAAACAACACCAUCUCUGAUGUAUGACAGUAUUGAAAACAACACCAUCUCUGAUGUAUGACAGUUUGAAAACACACCAUCUCUGAUGUAUGACUGUAUUGAAAACAACACCAUCUCUGAUGUAUGACAGUAUUGAAAACAACACAAUCUCUGAUGUAUGACAGUAUUGAAAACACACCAUCUCUGAUGUAUGACAGUAUUGAAAACACACCAUCUCUGAUGUAUGACAGUAUUGAAAACACACCAUCUCUGAUGUAUGACAGGGUUGAAAACAACACCAUCUCUGAUGUAUGACAGUAUUGAAAACACACCAUCUUAUUCCUGUUGGUGAAAUCCUGUCAUAGUAUUCCCCAUCAGGAAGCCAAACCCACUGGGCAAAACAUUAUUUAAUUUAAACCAGAAACAUCUAUGUGAUGACAUAGUCAUCAAGAUAAGGGCAUUUCAUAUUUUCUUCACCCAACUUUUUUAUUGUAUUUAAAAAAUAUUUUAAAAAUUGCCCCUUUUUCUCCCCAAUUUUGUGGUAUCCAAUUGGUAGUUACAGUCUUGUAUCAUCGCUACAACUCCCAUACGGACUGGGGAGAGGCGUGCAUCCUUAAAACACAGCCCAGUCGCACUGCUUCUUGACACAAUGCCCACUUAACCCGGAAGCGCUUCCGGGUCCAAAACAACUAGCAUGCACUGCGCCCAGCCCGCCACAGGAGUCACUAGUGAGCGAUGGGACAAGAACAUCCCUGUCGGCCAAACCCUCCCCUAACCUGGACGACGCUGGGCCAUUUUUUCAUCGCCCCAUGGGCCUGGACUCAAACCAAAUCUCUAGUGGCACAGCUAGCACUGUGAUGCAGUGCCUUAGACAACUGCGCCACUCCAGAGGCCACUUUCACCCAACUUUUAACCUAAAUACAUGCCCACUAGGUACAGACGUCAAUAUAACGUCUAUUCCACGUUGGUUCAUUGUAAUUUCAUUAAAUUACGUGGAAACAACGUUGAUUCAACCAGUGUGUGUCCAGUGGGUGGUGACGUUUUUUUUCUUCAUUUAAAGUUGAAUUCACAUUAGUUGACAACUCAACCAAACGUAAAUCAAAACUAGAUGUUGAACUGACGUCUUUGCCCAGUGAGAUGUAAUACCUAUUGGGCUAUCCAUAUUCCUAAUCGGGCAAACCAGGGACCAGGACCAAACGCCUUAGGACGGCAUUGACAUGAAGCAAGUGUAUAAUUUACCUGUUGCGUGAUAUCAGCAGCACACUCACAGUGCUGGAGCGGUCAUAUGUGUUAUCUGUUCCACUGCGGAGCUACUGAGGUAAAUAUUACAGAGCAGGGAUUACUGGGUAACGUUAGGGACAGGUUCAGUAUGGCUGAGGGUAAUACAUUCCUACCCCCUAUCAUUAUUCAUCCCUGUAACGCCCCGUCGGGCUGUAACGCCCCGUCGGGCAUGACCGCAUAUGAAAAGGCCCUCCGUGUGUUUCGGUGAGAUAAAAGAGGACUGGUAGAAAAGAUCCGAGAGGGCCCGCACGUUAUUCCCAUGAUGCCUUGCAAUCCAGGUGGCUGUUUCUGGAGAUGAGAGUGGACCAGACAUGGACGGUCUGAGAUUAAGGUGUCACGGAGCUGAGCCACAGGACACUGAGCAGAGGCACGUAGAGGAGAUAUCAACGGUGGAUGUAUCAGAGGGACUCCAGGGAACAUCAGGUAGAGAUAUCAACGGUGGAUGUAUCAGAGGAACUCCAGAGAAUAUCAGGUAGAGAUAUCAACGGUGGAUGUAUCAGAGGAACUCCAGAGAAUAUCAGGUAGAGAUAUCAACGGUUGAUGUAUCAGAGGAACUCCAGAGAAUAUCAGGUAGAGAUAUCAACGGUGGAUGUAUCAGAGGAACUCCAGGGAAUAUCAGGUAGAGAUAUCAACGGUGGAUGUAUCAGAGGAGCUCCAGAGAACAUCAGGUAGAGAUAUCAAGUAGAGAUAUACCUUAAG
This is a long non-coding RNA of Oncorhynchus tshawytscha (Chinook salmon), 2463 nucleotides long. The record is from Ensembl. NCBI's taxonomy places the organism in Eukaryota, Metazoa, Chordata, Actinopteri, Salmoniformes, Salmonidae.